ACCUGCAUAUCGAACGGCAGGACAGGAGAGCUUGCUCUUUCGGUGGCGAGUGGCGGACGGGUGAGGAAUACAUCGGAAUCUACCCUUUCGUGGGGGAUACCGUAGGGAAACUUACGCUAAUACCGCAUACCACCUUCAGGUGAAAGCUCGGGACCUUCGGGCCUUGCGCGGAUGGAUGAGCCGAUGUCGGAUUAGCUAGUUGGCGGGGUAAAGGCCCACCAAGGCGACGAUCCGUAGCUGGUCUGAGAGGAUGAUCAGCCACACUGGAACUGAGACACGGUCCAGACUCCUACGGGAGGCAGCAAUGGGGAAUAUUGGACAAUGGGCGCAAGCCUGAUCCAGCCAUACCGCGUGGGUGAAGAAGGCCUUCGGGUUGUAAAGCCCUUUUGUUGGGAAAGAAAAGCAUCCUGUUAAUACCUGGUUGUUCUGACGGUACCCAAAGAAUAAGCACAGGCUAACUUCGUGCCAGCAGCCGCGCUAAUACGAUAGGUGCAAGCGUUACUCGCAGUUACUGGGCGUAGCGCGUGCGUAGGUGGUUGUUUAAGUCUGUAGUGAAAACCCUGAGUUUCGACCUGGGAAUUGCAGUGCUACUGUGCGACUAGUAUGUGGUAGACGGUAGUCGCAGUGCUGCUGUAGCAUUGAAAUGAUAGAGAUCAUGACGACAUCCAUGGCGACGCAUGCUGCCUAGCACCGACCCUGA
RNAcentral lists this ribosomal RNA (700 nucleotides) under Stenotrophomonas sp. SB44. RNAcentral describes it as "bacterial SSU rRNA". It matches the Rfam family "Bacterial small subunit ribosomal RNA", at positions 53 to 749 of the family's 1533-position model. Lineage: Bacteria; Pseudomonadati; Pseudomonadota; Gammaproteobacteria; Lysobacterales; Lysobacteraceae. The record is from RNAcentral.